AUGGGGUGCACCACCUCGGUGGAGGCGCGGCGCGACAUGCGCUGGGUGGAGGCGGCGGUCGGCCCGCGCGCGAGGCGGAGCUUCUCGCUGUCGUCCGCCGACCGGCAGCGGCUGCGGGCCAAGGCCGCAUCCGUGCUGCGCAGCCUCGGCCCCGUCCCGGGCCGGCGAUCCGGCGCGUCGUCGAGCAAGUACGCGACCCUGUCGGUCGAGGAGAUCAUGGUGAAGUUCGAGAACGACCGCGCCUUGCGGGAGGUGCUCGCCCGUCUCAAGGAGACGGCGGCGGCGGCGGCGAAGCGGAAUGCCGCCGUCGGGCCUAGGACGAGCACGCCGACGCUGACGCCGCCCAACGAGCCGGAGGUGAUCAACGCGUGGGAGCUCAUGGCCGGGCUCGAGGACGAAGGGCCCACGCCGCGGGCAACGCAUCAUGAGCCCCCGCCGACGACACCGCCGUGGAUGCUGGCCGACCAGGACGUGCCCGUCGCCUUCGAGUUUGACCCGGAGAUACUGUCCAGCUUCCGGGAGGCCCUCGCGCAGGACACGUCGCCGUCACAGCAGCCGAGCACGGCCAGCUCGCCCACGGACAAGGAGGAAUCGGCGUCGCAGCAACAGGCGAAGGUCGCCGACGACGCGAGUGCAUGCACGCCGGUCUCGCCGCCCACCAGGGACACCGCGAGCUCACCCGCGGACAAGGAGAAGGAGGAACCUGGGUCGCAGAAGGAUAAGGACGGCGCCGACGCAAGCGCAUGCACGCCGGUCUCGGCGCCCACCAGGGGCAUGCCGGAGCUCGCCGGCAUCGUGCGCGCCCGCAUCAACGCGUUCCAAGAAAAGAUCAUAGAGCGGAGGACGAGCAACGGCGCCCGCGACGCCAAGGUGUUGGGGCCGCCGGGCGGCAGGCGGAGGGCGGUGGUGUACUUCACCAGCCUCCGCGGCGUGCGCAAGACGUUCGUGGACGGCUGCGCCGUGCGCAACAUCCUGCGCAGCUACGGCGUGCGCGUGGACGAGCGCGACGUGUCCAUGCACGCCGCCUUCAAGUCCGAGCUCGCGCAGCUCCUCACCGGCCCCAGCGCCGCCGCCACGCUCCCUCGCGUGUUCGUCCACGGGCGGUACCUGGGCGGCGCCAAGGACGUGCAAGCCCUGCACGAGGCCGGCGAGCUCGCCCGCACGCUGGAGGGGUGCGACGCCGCGCCGGUGCGCAAGCUCGGGUGCAUGGAGGCGUGCGCGGCGUGCGGCGACGUCCGGUUCGUGCCCUGCGAGACGUGCUACGGCAGCUGCAAGAUCUUCGUCCAUUACGAGGACGACGAAGACGACGGCGAGUUCCAGCGGUGCCCGGACUGCAACGAGAACGGCCUCAUCGGAUGCCCCGUCUGCUGCUGCUGA
RNAcentral lists this ribosomal RNA (1377 nucleotides) under Triticum aestivum (bread wheat). RNAcentral describes it as "partial small subunit ribosomal RNA". The record is from RNAcentral. Lineage: Eukaryota; Viridiplantae; Streptophyta; Magnoliopsida; Poales; Poaceae.